GAGCAAUAAAAGAUGCUCACUACGGUAUUCUAGAAUCACAUGGUACACUGCCGUCACUUUAAACGCUCGCUCUCCCUCCACAGCCCUUCUGUUAGUGUGAUCCCAGAGGAGUGUUUUCAGCCGUACGCUCGCGUCUGUCGACCAAACACACGCCGAGGUCGACACCAGUGAGUCUCAGAGCAGCUCUUUUCUUCCACACGCCUCUCAGUUGCUAAGAAACCCUGAUAUUUGAUGAGCGAUUUAUUUAUUAAAAACUGUAUUAGCUACUUGCCACCUUAUUCUAAUUCUAUUCUAAUGUCUCUUUGUUGUCAUUAUUUGUAUGAAUACUUGGCAAUCAGCCUGUAUAGUUACAAGAGUGUGUUACAGACAUUAUAAUAUUAAUGAUUUUUGUUAUGUAUAUUUACAGUAAACUCACUGUAUUUGUUUGUGGUGAAUCAGAAGCACAAAUCAGCUGACGUUCCUGUAGUCAAACUCCUGAUUAUCUCAUCAUCAUCAGCGAGUGCUUCAGAGAUUUCAUGAGCUAAUAUUUGCAGAAGAGUCACUCUGCAGGUUCCUCCGGCGCUCGUAUCAGCCGCUGGAGUAACGCGGAGCUCUCCCACAUUAAAAAGUCCUCAAGAAUGCAGAGCACUCGCUCUCAGAGCAAGACGUGGAUAAUCCAAAGUGACAAAUGAUGUAAAGUAACACAUGGAGAUGGUUUUAGCUUUGACUGACUGCAUCACUAUAGCAACCAGCCGCCGUAAUCGGCCUGGACUUAUAGCUGCGCAAAACGAUGCACUCAUUGAGUUUUUAAUGUGAUAUGGGACACGCACACAAACACACACACACACACACACACACACACACACACACACACACAUCUGAGUGACCUACUGUAAAUCAGUUCAAACUUCACUUUCCAGCCGUCAAUAAUGCUGUAUCAUGCAAAGGUACUGUUUGGAUGUAUUUUGUAAAUAUAUGGAAAUGCAUAAAUGUAAAUUUACAAGUUAAUUUAUUUUCAUUUUGAUUUAUCAAUUAAAAUACGACAUUUUGUAGGAUGUUUUGUUUUCUUGGGAAAUUACAGUAUUUAAAAUAUUGAAACAUUAUAUAUCAAAAACAUUUUCAAAAUAUUAAUAUUAAAAAAAGAGAAACUAAGAGUAAUUAAUUAAUUGUAUUUUAGUACAAACCUCAC
Cyprinus carpio carpio is the source of this 1168-nucleotide long non-coding RNA. The record is from Ensembl. NCBI's taxonomy places the organism in Eukaryota, Metazoa, Chordata, Actinopteri, Cypriniformes, Cyprinidae.